CGAUCGGUGCGACAACGACAAUGUUGGA
Molecule: non-coding RNA, 28 nt
Filed under: Bombyx mori (domestic silkworm)
Lineage: Eukaryota; Metazoa; Arthropoda; Insecta; Lepidoptera; Bombycidae
Source: RNAcentral